GACGAACGCUGGCGGCGUGCUUAACACAUGCAAGUCGAACGGAAAGGCCCUGCUUUUGUGGUGUGCUCGAGUGGCGAACGGGUUAGUAACACGUGAGUAACCUGCCCUUUACUUUGGGAUAACUUCAGGUAACUGGGGCUAAUACCGGAUAGGAGCUCCUGCUGCAUGGUGUGGGUUGGAACGUUUCGGCGUUUGGGGAUGGACUCGCGGCUUAUCAGCUUGUUGGUGGGGUAGUGGCUUACCAAGGCUUUGACAGGUAGCCGGCCUGAGAGGGUGACCGGACACAUUGGGACUGAGAUACGGCCCAGACUAAUACGGGAGGCAGCAGUGGGGAAUAGUGCACAAUGGGCGGAAGCCUGAUGCAGUAACGCCGCGUGCGGGAUGACGGCCUUCGGGUUGUAAACCGAUGUCGCCUGUGACGAAGCGUGAGUGACGGUAAUGGGUAAAGAAGCACCGGCUAACUACGUG
RNAcentral lists this ribosomal RNA (468 nucleotides) under uncultured bacterium. Its description in RNAcentral is "partial 16S ribosomal RNA". It matches the Rfam family "Bacterial small subunit ribosomal RNA", at positions 28 to 507 of the family's 1533-position model. The record is from RNAcentral.